Molecule: signal recognition particle RNA, 264 nt
Filed under: Tenericutes bacterium HGW-Tenericutes-4
Lineage: Bacteria; Bacillati; Mycoplasmatota
Description: signal recognition particle sRNA large type
Rfam family: Bacterial large signal recognition particle RNA
About the family: The signal recognition particle (SRP) is a universally conserved ribonucleoprotein involved in the co-translational targeting of proteins to membranes. Archaeal SRP consists of a 7S RNA and homologues of the eukaryotic SRP19 and SRP54 proteins.
Source: RNAcentral
CUGUGCUAGGCGGGGAGCUAGUGGUGCCCUAUUUCCGCAACCCACUACAGCGGAGUCGAAUACCAAUUUCGGUAUGCACUGUGUUGCAGAGGAUAACAGCGCGGCGUUGAUAACAAGGUCUUACGCAAUAAUAAACCAUGAACCAUGUCAGAGCUUGACGGCAGCAGCAUUAAGUGGUAUUUAUUAUGUGAUGUAAAAAAACUUUGUAGUAGCAAGCGGUUUAUUCGUUCACAAUGUAGCGUCGUAUCAACAAAGGUUGCACAG